Molecule: non-coding RNA, 467 nt
Organism: Coffea arabica (coffee)
Lineage: Eukaryota; Viridiplantae; Streptophyta; Magnoliopsida; Gentianales; Rubiaceae
Source: RefSeq, a predicted model, not a curated record
AUUUUGAGGCUUGCGAUCUCAGGCGCCCAAGAUGACUCUUGUAAAGUCAGAGUAUCCCUCUCAUCAACACGUUUGUGUUCGUUUUAACAAAGGUGCUGUGUUAAAAGUGGGCACAAACUAUGUCGGAAGAAGUAUCUCGCAGGUUGACAAAGUGCUUUGAUGCGAGCAAGUGGAUGGAUAGUGACGAGCUUAGGGGGUCGCUCAUUGUUCUUGGGUACUAAUGAAUGGCUAAGGAUUACAAUCCGGGGUUAAGAGGAGAUGCUAUUUACUUCACUUUGUGUAGAUGCUGAAGUUGAGCCCAGCACUACGUCUGGAGCCUUAUGAUUUGGGUGUUUUUCAGCAUUACCCACUAACCUUCGUGUCAGUUUGUUUCCAUUACCCACUAACUUGCAUCGCAGUUUCAUCAUAGACGGAUUAGGUGCUCAUUUAGUCCUCCACGCGUACUUUGCAUGGUCACUCUAUUUCUC